RNAcentral lists this ribosomal RNA (465 nucleotides) under Vreelandella stevensii. RNAcentral describes it as "partial 16S ribosomal RNA". It matches the Rfam family "Bacterial small subunit ribosomal RNA", at positions 338 to 795 of the family's 1533-position model. Lineage: Bacteria; Pseudomonadati; Pseudomonadota; Gammaproteobacteria; Oceanospirillales; Halomonadaceae. The record is from RNAcentral.
CCUACGGGGGGCUGCAGUGGGGAAUAUUGGACAAUGGGGGGAACCCUGAUCCAGCCAUGCCGCGUGUGUGAAGAAGGCCCUCGGGUUGUAAAGCACUUUCAGUGAGGAAGAACGCCUGGUGGUUAAUACCCAUCAGGAAAGACAUCACUCACAGAAGAAGCACCGGCUAACUCCGUGCCAGCAGCCGCGGUAAUACGGAGGGUGCGAGCGUUAAUCGGAAUUACUGGGCGUAAAGCGCGCGUAGGUGGCUUGAUAAGCCGGUUGUGAAAGCCCCGGGCUCAACCUGGGAACGGCAUCCGGAACUGUCAAGCUAGAGUGCAGGAGAGGAAGGUAGAAUUCCCGGUGUAGCGGUGAAAUGCGUAGAGAUAGGGAGGAAUACCAGUGGCGAAGGCGGCCUUCUGGACUGACACUGACACUGAGGUGCGAAAGCGUGGGUAGCAAACAGGAUUAGAUACCCUAGUAGUC